AGCUAACUAAGCAAAUUCAUUGUAUCAAUUCAUUAUAUAUUGAUUAAAGAGAGAGAAAGUGCAUGUAUGUUGGUCAUUUGUUAUCUAAUUCUCACCCAACUCUCUCUCUCUUCCGAAAUUUACAAGUAUUUUAGUCUCUAACAUGAUCUCAACCAAGCCAAGAUCAGAUCAUGAUGAUCAGAUUCUAAAUCAGAGCUUAAAAGGUAUAAAAACCCCUAAAUCUUGAAAUCCUUAAAUUUGAUGUUAGAUGGUAUGAUUUGUUGUUUAGAAGUGUGUUAUAAGGUGUUAAUAAGUGAUCUGGGUUGAUAGAUCAUAGAUCUAUAACAUCUAGAUGCACGAUUUUGAUGUUUAGAAAAAUCUGGAAAUUUUAAUUUUUAGUCUGAUAGUCAAAUGUCAGUCAUCAUAGAUCUUAGUAUGAUAUGUGUUUUUGUUGUUUAAG
Molecule: long non-coding RNA, 439 nt
Filed under: Panax ginseng (ginseng)
Lineage: Eukaryota; Viridiplantae; Streptophyta; Magnoliopsida; Apiales; Araliaceae
Description: long non-coding RNA (PGIN_LNC006328)
Source: RNAcentral